Molecule: ribosomal RNA, 497 nt
Filed under: uncultured bacterium
Lineage: Bacteria
Description: partial 16S ribosomal RNA
Rfam family: Bacterial small subunit ribosomal RNA
Source: RNAcentral
GAUGAACGCUGGCGGCGUGCCUAAUACAUGCAAGUCGAGCGAACAGACGAGGAGCUUGCUCCUCUGACGUUAGCGGAGGACGGGUGAGUAACACGUGGAUCACCCCCCUAUCAGUCUGGGAUAACCUCGGGAAACCGGCGCUAAUACCGGAUCAUAUCUUGAACCGCAUGGUUCAAUAGUGAAAGACGGCUUUGCUGUAUCUUAUCGAUGGUUCCGAGCCGCAUUAGCUAGUUGGUAAGGUAAAGGCUUACCACGGCAGCGAUGUGUAGCCGACGUGCGAGGGUGAUCGGCCACACGGGAAGUGAGACACGGUCCAGACGACUGCGAGAGGCAGCAGAAGGGAAUCUUCCGCAAUGGGCGGAAGCCUGACGGAGCAACGCCGCGUGAGUGAUGAAGGUCUUCGGAGCGUAAAACUCUGUUAUGAGUGAAGAACAAAUGUGGAAUUAGCUGUGCACGGCGUGACGGUACCGGAUCAGAAAGCCACGGCUAACUACGUG